ACGCCCUAAACUAUGGAUACUCGACAUAUGCGAUACACUGUAUGUGUCUGAACGAAAGCAUUAAGUAUCCCACCUGGGAAGUACGUUCGCAAGAAUGAAACUCAAAGGAAUUGGCGGGGGUCCGCACAAGCGGUGGAGUAUGUGGUUUAAUUCGAUGAUACGCGAGGAACCUUACCUGGGCUAGAGUGCUGGGAGACCGCUAGUGAAAGCUAGUUUUGUAGCAAUACACUGCCAGUAAGGUGCUGCAUGGCCGUCGUCAGCUCGUGCCGUGAGGUGUUGGGUUAAGUCCCGCAACGAGCGCAACCCCUAUCUUUAGUUGCCAACAGGUAAUGCUGGGAACUCUAAAGAAACUGCCGCCGUAAGGUGUGAGGAAGGAGGGGAUGAUGUCAGGUCAUCAUGGCCUUUAUGCCCAGGGCUACACACGUACUACAAUGGGGGAGACAAAGGGCUGCAACAUAGCGAUAUGAAGCCAAUCCCAAAAACUCCCUCUCAGUUCAGAUUGCAGGCUGCAACUCGCCUGCAUGAAGCUGGAAUCGCUAGUAAUCGUAUAUCAGCAAUGAUACGGUGAAUACGUUCCCGGACCUUGCACACACCGCCCGUCAACCAUGGGAGUCGGGUGUACCA
Molecule: ribosomal RNA, 624 nt
Filed under: uncultured Bacteroidota bacterium
Lineage: Bacteria; Pseudomonadati; Bacteroidota
Description: bacterial SSU rRNA
Rfam family: Bacterial small subunit ribosomal RNA
Source: RNAcentral